UUCAAUGGUGUUUUAGGAUAAAUCGUUU
RNAcentral lists this small RNA (28 nucleotides) under Bombyx mori (domestic silkworm). RNAcentral describes it as "ovarian small RNA-36985". The record is from RNAcentral. Lineage: Eukaryota; Metazoa; Arthropoda; Insecta; Lepidoptera; Bombycidae.